UACGGAGGGUGCAAGCGUUAUCCGGAUUCACUGGGUUUAAAGGGUGCGUAGGUGGGCAGGUAAGUCAGUGGUGAAAUCCUGUAGCUUAACUACAGAACUGCCAUUGAUACUAUUUGUCUUGAAUGCCCUGGAGGUGAGCGGAAUAUGUCAUGUAGCGGUGAAAUGCUUAGAUAUGACAUAGAACAUCUAUUGCGAAGGCAGCUCACUACGGGAAUAUUGACGCUGAGGCACGAAAGCGUGGGGAUCAAACAGG
RNAcentral lists this ribosomal RNA (253 nucleotides) under uncultured prokaryote. RNAcentral's name for it is "partial 16S ribosomal RNA". It matches the Rfam family "Bacterial small subunit ribosomal RNA", at positions 524 to 776 of the family's 1533-position model. The record is from RNAcentral.